Molecule: ribosomal RNA, 429 nt
Filed under: Chloroflexota bacterium
Lineage: Bacteria; Bacillati; Chloroflexota
Description: Chloroflexi bacterium partial 16S ribosomal RNA
Rfam family: Bacterial small subunit ribosomal RNA
Source: RNAcentral
UGGGGAAUAUUGCACAAUGGGCGCAAGCCUGAUGCAGCCAUGCCGCGUGUAUGAAGAAGGCCUUCGGGUUGUAAAGUACUUUCAGCGGGGAGGAAGGGAGUAAAGUUAAUACCUUUGCUCAUUGACGUUACCCGCAGAAGAAGCACCGGCUAACUCCGUGCCAGCAGCCGCGGUAAUACGGAGGGUGCAAGCGUUAAUCGGAAUUACUGGGCGUAAAGCGCACGCAGGCGGUUUGUUAAGUCAGAUGUGAAAUCCCCGGGCUCAACCUGGGAACUGCAUCUGAUACUGGCAAGCUUGAGUCUCGUAGAGGGGGGUAGAAUUCCAGGUGUAGCGGUGAAAUGCGUAGAGAUCUGGAGGAAUACCGGUCGCGAAGGCGGCCCCCUGGACGAAGACUGACGCUCAGGUGCGAAAGCGUGGGGAGCAAACAGG